Molecule: long non-coding RNA, 1177 nt
Organism: Herpailurus yagouaroundi (jaguarundi)
Lineage: Eukaryota; Metazoa; Chordata; Mammalia; Carnivora; Felidae
Exons: 4
Source: RefSeq, a predicted model, not a curated record
AGAGCGCCUCAGAACGCCGACCAUCUACUUCCGGACCAUGGGUGCCGGUGGGAAACGGAAGCCGCAGAAAGCGGAUCGGCGGAUAAGCGGGGAAUAUUGAAUGUGAGGCUCUCUUGAACUAUAAAGUGGAUCUCAACAAGGCGAGCAGCGAACGAGCAACCGUCAGCUCCUGACAUCAGCCCCCAUAGACUCAUGUUUGAGACCUGAGGAGGCAAAACCUGAUGGAAGAAUUUUCCUGAGAAGCUCUGUGAGGCUGGAGGCAGGUCCCAUAAUGCCUGGGACCUGGUGACCAAGUAGGACAGCCAGGGCAUCUUUGGUGAUCAUUUCCUGACACAGUAGUGCUGGGAGCUGCCUGGGGAAUUUAUCUUUCUUGUCUUUGACCUUGUUUUAUCACGAGACUGCUAGUGGUCAAAUGAUAAAGAGGAGCAGUUCCAGGAGGCCAAGCUUCUUGCGUGCAUCACUUCAAGCCCAGGCCAGUGUGGCUGAGUAGAUGGCUAAGUGCCCAAGGAGCUAGAGUUUUAUCUGAGGAAAACCAAAGCCUGAAAAGGCAAAUAAAUCUUCCUCCCUCCUGUCUUCGGUCAUGUAAAAGAGGUGUUUAUUAUUCAAAAAAAAAAGAAAAAAGAAAAGAAAAAGAAAAAAAAAGAGAAUAGGACCUAAUGAAUAGAAGAAGUCAUGUAGCCUUCUUUCUUGAGAAUUUGAUGAUGAAAAGGUGAAAUGUAAGGCAUUAGCCCAGAAAAAAAGGAAGUUGAGCUAAAGAAAGAGUAGUUGUUUUUGUCACUGUUUUUUAUUUCUUUAACAUCUGGUGGAGUCUCGAGCACAUGUGUGUACCCAGAAGAGAAAGGGUACAUGAGAGGAGGGGAGAUAACUGAGGAAGCCAGAUUCUGGGGGCUCAGGGUGAAAGCCAAGGCUUGGAAAGUGGCGGAAGAUUUUCUUCUGGGAUAAUAAGGAAGAAGGAAGCAUAUGUUGAAGCCGAGAGAAGUCUGAAGAUGGUGAAGAAGGCCACAUCAGUGAGUUUAUCCCUGACGAUCUUUUUUUUUUUUUUUGACAAGGCAGCUGGCGAGGAAAUCUCUGAAGGUGAAAAGAGCGUGAAUAUACUGAGAGAGGAUGUUGUUAAUAAACACCAGUGUCUUGUUGUUAAUAAACACCAUUGUCUUAAUAAACACGUUUAAACACAUUG